AGCGGACGCUGGCGGCAGGCUUAACACAUGCAAGUCGAGCGGGCAUCCUUGUGGUGUCAGCGGCAGACGGGUGAGUAACGCGUGGGAACGUGCCCUUCGGUUCGGAAUAACUCAGGGAAACUUGAGCUAAUACCGGAUACGUGCGAGAGCAGAAAGGUUUAUCUGCCGAAGGAUCGGCCCGCGUCUGAUUAGCUAGUUGGUGAGGUUACGGCUCACCAAGGCGACGAUCAGUAGCUGGUCUGAGAGGAUGAUCAGCCACACUGGGACUGAGACACGGCCCAGACUCCUACGGGAGGCAGCAGUGGGGAAUAUUGGACAAUGGGGGCAACCCUGAUCCAGCCAUGCCGCGUGAGUGAUGACGGCCUUAGGGUUGUAAAGCUCUUUUCUCCGGGACGAUAAUGACGGUACCGGAGGAAUAAGCCCCGGCUAACUUCGUG
This 437-nucleotide ribosomal RNA is filed under the name uncultured bacterium. RNAcentral's name for it is "partial 16S ribosomal RNA". It matches the Rfam family "Bacterial small subunit ribosomal RNA", at positions 29 to 507 of the family's 1533-position model. The record is from RNAcentral.